CGACCGGCGCACGGGUGAGUAACGCGUAUCCAACCUGCCCUUUACUAUGGGACAGCCCGUCGAAAGGCGGAUUAAUACUGUAUGUUGUCAUGUUGAUGCAUAUUUUCAUGACCAAAGGCUUCGGCCGGUAAAGGAUGGGGAUGCGUCUGAUUAGCUUGCCGGCGGGGUAACGGCCCACCGGGGCGACGAUCAGUAGGGGUUCUGAGAGGAAGGUCCCCCACACUGGUACUGAAACACGGACCAGACUCCUACGGAAGGCAGCAG
This 264-nucleotide ribosomal RNA is filed under the name uncultured bacterium. RNAcentral's name for it is "partial 16S ribosomal RNA". It matches the Rfam family "Bacterial small subunit ribosomal RNA", at positions 92 to 354 of the family's 1533-position model. The record is from RNAcentral.